UAACACAUGCAAGUCGAACGGUAACAGGAAGCAGCUUGCUGCUUUGCUGACGAGUGGCGGACGGGUGAGUAAUGUCUGGGAAACUGCCUGAUGGAGGGGGAUAACUACUGGAAACGGUAGCUAAUACCGCAUAACGUCUUCGGACCAAAGAGGGGGACCUUCGGGCCUCUUGCCAUCAGAUGUGCCCAGAUGGGAUUAGCUAGUAGGUGGGGUAAUGGCUCACCUAGGCGACGAUCCCUAGCUGGUCUGAGAGGAUGACCAGCCACACUGGAACUGAGACACGGUCCAGACUCCUACGGGAGGCAGCAGUGGGGAAUAUUGCACAAUGGGCGCAAGCCUGAUGCAGCCAUGCCGCGUGUAUGAAGAAGGCCUUCGGGUUGUAAAGUACUUUCAGCGAGGAGGAAGGCGUUAAGGUUAAUAACCUUAGCGAUUGACGUUACUCGCAGAAGAAGCACCGGCUAACUCCGUGCCAGCAGCCGCGGUAAUACGGAGGGUGCAAGCGUUAAUCGGAAUUACUGGGCGUAAAGCGCACGCAGGCGGUCUGUCAAGUCGGAUGUGAAAUCCCCGGGCUCAACCUGGGAACUGCAUUCGAAACUGACAGGCUAGAGUCUUGUAGAGGGGGGUAGAAUUCCAGGUGUAGCGGUGAAAUGCGUAGAGAUCUGGAGGAAUACCGGUGGCGAAGGCGGCCCCCUGGACAAA
This 699-nucleotide ribosomal RNA is filed under the name Siccibacter sp. RNAcentral describes it as "bacterial SSU rRNA". It matches the Rfam family "Bacterial small subunit ribosomal RNA", at positions 49 to 737 of the family's 1533-position model. The record is from RNAcentral. Lineage: Bacteria; Pseudomonadati; Pseudomonadota; Gammaproteobacteria; Enterobacterales; Enterobacteriaceae.